RNAcentral lists this ribosomal RNA (253 nucleotides) under uncultured prokaryote. RNAcentral's name for it is "partial 16S ribosomal RNA". It matches the Rfam family "Bacterial small subunit ribosomal RNA", at positions 524 to 776 of the family's 1533-position model. The record is from RNAcentral.
UACGUAGGGAGCAAGCGUUGCCCGGAAUUACUGGGCGUAAAGAGCUCGUAGGCGGGGGCGUGCGUCCGGGAAGAAAUCUCAUGGCUCAACCAUGGGGCUAUCUCGGAUACGGCGCUUCUUGAGGGUGAGAGAGGAAAGCGGAAUUCCAGGUGUAGCGGUGAAAUGCGUAGAUAUCUGGAGGAACACCAGCGGCGAAGGCGGCUUUCUGGCUCAUUCCUGACGCUGAGGAGCGAAAGCGUGGGUAGCGAACGGG